GCAUUGCUGACGAGUCCAAAACAGAACGAGACAGCUGUCCGGUGC
This 45-nucleotide non-coding RNA is filed under the name Echinostoma caproni. The record is from RNAcentral. Lineage: Eukaryota; Metazoa; Platyhelminthes; Trematoda; Plagiorchiida; Echinostomatidae.